RNAcentral lists this long non-coding RNA (378 nucleotides) under Capsicum annuum. RNAcentral's name for it is "long non-coding RNA (CANN_LNC012473)". Lineage: Eukaryota; Viridiplantae; Streptophyta; Magnoliopsida; Solanales; Solanaceae. The record is from RNAcentral.
CAGACGCUGGGCAUGAAUGGAUAGUGGUGGAUAAUAACAAGGGUUCACAUGCCGAAUUCAAAUGGUAAAUAGUGGGCAGUAACGAAAGGCCAUAUAUAUGAUAUACAAUAGAAAUCAUAAUCUGACACCAGAGUCGAACCAAAACUUUAAGGAACCACAAAUUCCAGAACAAUAAUCAGUACCAGAACUCCCAUAUAAUCACAACCAGAUGUCGAAAUUGAAUUGAAACUCAUAUUAAUCAUAUCCAAAUGUAAAAUUCAAACCCUAACCAUAUCAUAACAAGUGUACCGACAUUCACAGUCAAUGACAUAAAUAAAGUAUAUGUUGAAUCUAAGCCAAAACUACAAAUAUAUUUAAAUAACCAUUUGCAUAUUUAAA